GAAUGACUCUCGGCAACGGAUAUCUCGGCUCUCGCAUCGAUGAAGAACGUAGCGAAAUGCGAUACUUGGUGUGAAUUGCAGAAUCCCGUGAACCAUCGAGUCUUUGAACGCAAGUUGCGCCCGACGCCUUCUGGCCGAGGGCAUGUCUGCCUGGGCGUCACGC
RNAcentral lists this ribosomal RNA (163 nucleotides) under Muraltia heisteria. Its description in RNAcentral is "5.8S ribosomal RNA". It matches the Rfam family "5.8S ribosomal RNA". Rfam says of the family: 5.8S ribosomal RNA (5.8S rRNA) is a component of the large subunit of the eukaryotic ribosome. It is transcribed by RNA polymerase I as part of the 45S precursor that also contains 18S and 28S rRNA. Lineage: Eukaryota; Viridiplantae; Streptophyta; Magnoliopsida; Fabales; Polygalaceae. The record is from RNAcentral.